AACGAACGCUGGCGGCAUGCCUAACGCAUGCAAGUCGAACGAGACCUUCGGGUCUAGUGGCGCACGGGUGCGUAACGCGUGGGAACCUGCCCUUAGGUUCGGAAUAACUCCCCGAAAGGGGUGCUAAUACCGGAUAAUGUCUUCGGACCAAAGAUUUAUCGCCUUUGGAUGGGCCCGCGUUGGAUUAGCUAGUUGUUAGGGUAAAAGCCUACCAAGGCGACGAUCCAUAGCUGGUCUGAGAGGAUGAUCAGCCACACUGGGACUGAGACACGGCCCAGACUCCUACGGGAGGCAGCAGUGGGGAAUAUUGGACAAUGGGCGAAAGCCUGAUCCAGCAAUGCCGCGUGAGUGAUGAAGGCCUUAGGGUUGUAAAGCUCUUUUACCCGGGAUGAUAAUGACAGUACCGGGAGAAUAAGCUCCGGCUAACUCCG
This 431-nucleotide ribosomal RNA is filed under the name uncultured bacterium. RNAcentral's name for it is "partial 16S ribosomal RNA". It matches the Rfam family "Bacterial small subunit ribosomal RNA", at positions 29 to 505 of the family's 1533-position model. The record is from RNAcentral.